This 454-nucleotide ribosomal RNA is filed under the name uncultured bacterium. Its description in RNAcentral is "partial 16S ribosomal RNA". It matches the Rfam family "Bacterial small subunit ribosomal RNA", at positions 28 to 507 of the family's 1533-position model. The record is from RNAcentral.
GAUGAACGCUGACAGAAUGCUUAACACAUGCAAGUCAACUUGAACUUCGGUUUGGGUGGCGGACGGGUGAGUAACGCGUAAAGAACUUGCCUCACAGCUAGGGACAACAUUUGGAAACGAAUGCUAAUACCUGAUAUUAUGAUUUUAGGGCAUCCUAGAAUUAUGAAAGCUAUAUGCGCUGUGAGAGAGCUUUGCGUCCCAUUAGCUAGUUGGAGAGGUAACGGCUCACCAAGGCGAUGAUGGGUAGCCGGCCUGAGAGGGUGAACGGCCACAAGGGGACUGAGACACGGCCCUUACUCCUACGGGAGGAAGGAGUGGGGAAUAUUGGACAAUGGACCAAGAGUCUGAUCCAGCAAUUCUGUGUGCACGAUGAAGUUUUUCGGAAUGUAAAGUGCUUUCAGUUGGGAAGAAAAAAAUGACGGUACCAACAGAAGAAGUGACGGCUAAAUACGUG